UUUUGGAGAGAUGAUGAUUUAUAUCAGAGGCUGUUUCUGAGGAUGAGCCUUGAGCUCACCCAGUGCUGCAAAAGAACUGAUUUGCCGUUCUGAUCCAAUU
Molecule: non-coding RNA, 100 nt
Organism: Oryza meridionalis
Lineage: Eukaryota; Viridiplantae; Streptophyta; Magnoliopsida; Poales; Poaceae
Source: Rfam